GUGGUUAAGUUACUAAGGGCACACGGUGGAUGCCUUGGCGCUAGGAGCCGAAGAAGGACGCAGCGAACUGCGAUAAGCCUCGGGGAGCGGUAAGCACGCUUUGAUCCGGGGAUCUCCGAAUGGGGCAACCCACCAUUCGUAAUGGAAUGGUAUCCUUCACUGAAUACAUAGGUGAUGAGAAGGCAGACCCGGUGAACUGAAACAUCUAAGUAGCCGGAGGAAGAGAAAACAAUAGUGAUUCCGUCAGUAGUGGCGAGCGAACGCGGAAGAGCCUAAACCGUCGGGUUUACCCGGCGGGGUUGUGGGACGUCUCACUAGGAGUUACAAAAGACUCUUGUAGAUGAACAGCUUGGGAAAGCUGACCAGAGAGCGUGACAGUCGCGUAAUCUAAACAAGAGUCUCUCCGAGACGGAUCCCGAGUAGCGCGGGACACGUGAAAUCCCGUGUGAAUCUGGCAGGACCAUCUGCUAAGGCUAAAUACUACCUAGCGACCGAUAGUGAACCAGUACCGUGAGGGAAAGGUGAAAAGCACCCCGGGAGGGGAGUGAAAUAGUACCUGAAACCGUGUGCUUACAAAUAGUCGGAGCCCGUUAAAAGGGUGACGGCGUGCCUUUUGUAGAAUGAACCGGCGAGUUACGGUAGCGUGCGAGGUUAAGUUGAAGAGACGGAGCCGCAGCGAAAGCGAGUCUGAAUAGGGCGUAAGUACGCUGCCGUAGACCCGAAACCGUGUGAUCUAGCCAUGUCCAGGGUGAAGGUAGGGUAACACCUACUGGAGGCCCGAACCCACGCACGUUGAAAAGUGCGGGGAUGAGGUGUGGCUAGCGGUGAAAUUCCAAUCGAACUCGGAGAUAGCUGGUUCUCCCCGAAAUAGCUUUAGGGCUAGCCUCGGAAUUUAGAGUCUUGGAGGUAGAGCACUGAUUGGGCUAGGGGCCCUCAUCGGGUUACCGAACUCAGUCAAACUCCGAAUGCCAAUGACUUAUGUCCGGGAGUCAGACGGUGAGUGCUAAGAUCCAUCGUCAAAAGGGAAACAGCCCAGACCAUCAGCUAAGGUCCCCAAGUA
RNAcentral lists this ribosomal RNA (1060 nucleotides) under Brevibacillus nitrificans. RNAcentral's name for it is "bacterial LSU rRNA". It matches the Rfam family "Bacterial large subunit ribosomal RNA", at positions 1 to 1054 of the family's 2925-position model. The record is from RNAcentral. Lineage: Bacteria; Bacillati; Bacillota; Bacilli; Caryophanales; Paenibacillaceae.